GUGUGCCUAAUACAUGCAAGUCGAGCGCACUGGCCCAACUGAUAUGACGUGCUUGCACUGAUUUGACGAUGGAUCACCAGUGAGCGGCGGACGGGUGAGUAACACGUGGGCAACCUGCCCUGGAGCGGGGGAUAACAUUUGGAAACAGAUGCUAAUACCGCAUAACAAUCAAAACCACAUGGUUUUGAUUUCAAAGAUGGUUUCGGCUAUCACUCCAGGAUGGGCCCGCGGUGCAUUAGCUAGUUGGUAAGGUAACGGCUUACCAAGGCGAUGAUGCAUAGCCGAGUUGAGAGACUGAUCGGCCACAAUGGAACUGAGACACGGUCCAUACUCCUACGGGAGGCAGCAGUAGGGAAUCUUCCACAAUGGGCGCAAGCCUGAUGGAGCAACACCGCGUGAGUGAAGAAGGGUUUCGGCUCGUAAAACUCUGUUGUUGAAGAAGAACGUGCGUGAGAGUAACUGUUCACGCAGUGACGGUAUUCAACCAGAAAGUCACGGCUAACUACGUGCCAGCAGCCGCGGUAAUACGU
This 530-nucleotide ribosomal RNA is filed under the name Limosilactobacillus pontis. RNAcentral's name for it is "bacterial SSU rRNA". It matches the Rfam family "Bacterial small subunit ribosomal RNA", at positions 42 to 528 of the family's 1533-position model. The record is from RNAcentral. Lineage: Bacteria; Bacillati; Bacillota; Bacilli; Lactobacillales; Lactobacillaceae.